RNAcentral lists this ribosomal RNA (439 nucleotides) under uncultured bacterium. RNAcentral describes it as "partial 16S ribosomal RNA". It matches the Rfam family "Bacterial small subunit ribosomal RNA", at positions 338 to 795 of the family's 1533-position model. The record is from RNAcentral.
CCUACGGGAGGCAGCAGUAGGGAAUAUUGCUCAAUGGGGGAAACCCUGAAGCAGCAACGCCGCGUGGAGGAUGAAGGUUUUCGGAUUGUAAACUCCUUUUGUUAGAGAAGAUAAGACGGUAUCUAACGAAUAAGCACCGGCUAACUCCGUGCAAGCAGCCGCGGUAAUCCGGAGGGAGCAGGCGUUACUCGGGAUCACUGGGCGUAAGGAGCGCUUAGGCGGGAUAGCAAGUCAGAUGUGAAAUCCUAUGGCUUAACAAUAGAACUGCAUUUGAAACUGUUAUUCUGGAGUAUGGGAGAGGUAGGUGGAAUUCUUGGUGUAGGGGUAAAAUCCGUAGAGAUCACGAGGAAUACUCAUUGCGAAGGCGACCUGCUAGAACAUAACUGACGCUGAUGCGCGAAAGCGUGGGGAGCAAACAGGAUUAGAUACCCUGGUAGUC